RNAcentral lists this ribosomal RNA (255 nucleotides) under uncultured bacterium. Its description in RNAcentral is "partial 16S ribosomal RNA". It matches the Rfam family "Bacterial small subunit ribosomal RNA", at positions 524 to 776 of the family's 1533-position model. The record is from RNAcentral.
UACAGAGGGGGCAAGCGUUGUUCGGAAUUACUGGGCGUAAAGGGCGCGUAGGCGGCCUGUUAAGUCGAACGUGAAAUCCCCGGGCUCAACCCGGGAACUGCGUCCGAUACUGGCAGGCUCGAAUCCGGGAGAGGGAUGCGGAAUUCCAGGUGUAGCGGUGAAAUGCGUAGAUAUCGUAAGGAAGACCAGUGGCGAAGGCGGGUCUCUGGACAGUUCCUGACGGCUGAGGCACGAAGGUCAGGGGAGGCAAACGGG